This 741-nucleotide ribosomal RNA is filed under the name Triticum aestivum (bread wheat). RNAcentral describes it as "partial small subunit ribosomal RNA". Lineage: Eukaryota; Viridiplantae; Streptophyta; Magnoliopsida; Poales; Poaceae. The record is from RNAcentral.
AUGCUGUUUCCUGAGCUCGAGAAUGCAAACGCUGCCGUUGAAGCGGACUGGACACCAGAAGUAGUAGAUGGUGUAGAAUUAGCUGCUGCAGUUCCAACACUAAAGGAUGCAACAGGAGAAGACGAAAAUGUUGCCGUGCUCGAGAAAGAAGAGGAUGUGACUGGAGAGCUCGAAAAGGUUGUGAUAUUUGAUGAGAAAAUGGACGCAGUAUUCAGAUUGGAUGAUGCCUUGCUGGCUGUUUCUGGGACUUUAGACUUGGAUUCAGCUGUAGUACCCACGGUACCAAAGAGUGAAGUGCUAGCUGGCUUUGUCUCUGUGGAUGUCGUCUCUGGUUUUGGUGCUGCUACCGUUGGAGUGCUGGAGCCAAAAUUGAUAGUUGGAAAUGCAGGAACCGAAGAUGAAACAGGUGGACUGUUGCUGGAUACAGAGAAGCCGGCAAUGGUAGUUAAUGGAGCGGUGCUGACAGCAGGUUUAUCAGUGGGCGUGGUAUUUGACAACUUCGGUGGUGAUGUGUGCGACAAGCCAUUGCUCAGGCCCGGUGAAGUAGAUGCAGCAGAAGCAAAAUGGAGAGGUGGAGUCAAUGUUGGUGCAGCCGUAGGCAACACCUUGUCAGAUGACUUAUGGAUAUCUCCAGCUCCUUCCCUUCCAUUGCCUUGCUCCAAAUUAGGUGUGUCCAAUGAUGCGGGCUUCGUGACACUGGAAACACAAGAAGCAGAAUACAUUAGCAGAUACUCCAAAUAG